GACGAACGCUGGCGGCGUGCUUAACACAUGCAAGUCGAACGGAAAGGCCCUGCUUUUGUGGGGUGCUCGAGUGGCGAACGGGUGAGUAACACGUGAGUAACCUGCCCUUGACUUUGGGAUAACUUCAGGAAACUGGGGCUAAUACCGGAUAGGAGCUCCUGCUGCAUGGUGGGGGUUGGAAAGUUUCGGCGGUUGGGGAUGGACUCGCGGCUUAUCAGCUUGUUGGUGGGGUAGUGGCUUACCAAGGCUUUGACGGGUAGCCGGCCUGAGAGGGUUACCGGCCACAUUGGGACUGAGAUACGGCCCAGACUCCUACGGGAGGCAGCGGUGGGGAAUAUUGCACAAUGGGCGGAAGCCUGAUGCAGCAACGCCGCGUGCGGGAUGACGGCCUUCGGGUUGUAAACCGCUUUCGCCUGUGACGAAGCGUGAGUGACGGUAAUGGGUAAAGAAGCACCGGCUAACUACGUG
Molecule: ribosomal RNA, 468 nt
Filed under: uncultured bacterium
Lineage: Bacteria
Description: partial 16S ribosomal RNA
Rfam family: Bacterial small subunit ribosomal RNA
Source: RNAcentral